This 326-nucleotide ribosomal RNA is filed under the name Nectophrynoides vestergaardi (Vestergaard's forest toad). RNAcentral describes it as "partial 12S ribosomal RNA". It matches the Rfam family "Bacterial small subunit ribosomal RNA", at positions 879 to 1373 of the family's 1533-position model. The record is from RNAcentral. Lineage: Eukaryota; Metazoa; Chordata; Amphibia; Anura; Bufonidae.
ACUACGAGCCAAGCUUAAAACCCAAAGGACUUGACGGUACCCCACAUUCCCCCUAGAGGAGCCUGUCCUAUAAUCGAUAAUCCACGUUUAACCUCACCAUUUUUAGUUAAUCAGCCUGUAUACCUCCGUCGUCAGCUUACCACGUGAGCGUUCAUUAGUGAGCCCAAUGUAUUUCACCAGGACGUCAGGUCAAGGUGCAGUAAAUGAAAUGGAAUGAGAUGGGCUACACUUUCUACUUUAGAAGAAACGAAAAACUACCUAUGAAAUCUAGUUAGAAGGCGGAUUUAGUAGUAAAAAGGAAUCAGCAUAUCCAUUUUAACCCGGCA